This is a microRNA precursor of Oryza sativa Japonica Group (Japanese rice), 208 nucleotides long. It matches the Rfam family "MIR812 microRNA precursor family". NCBI's taxonomy places the organism in Eukaryota, Viridiplantae, Streptophyta, Magnoliopsida, Poales, Poaceae. The record is from Rfam.
CUUAAUUUCAAUUUUUAAGUUUUAGUGUUCAACGUUUGACCGUCCAUCUUAUAUGAAAUUUUUUUAUGAUUAAUAUUUUCAUUAUUGUUAGAUGAUAAAACAUAAAUAAUACUUUAUGAAUGAGUUAUCUUUUUAAUUUUUUUCAUAACUUUUUCAAAUAAGACGAAUGGUCAAACGUUAGACACGAAAACCCAAGAAUUGAGUUUUU